RNAcentral lists this ribosomal RNA (567 nucleotides) under Agrobacterium sp. S66. RNAcentral describes it as "bacterial SSU rRNA". It matches the Rfam family "Bacterial small subunit ribosomal RNA", at positions 305 to 885 of the family's 1533-position model. Lineage: Bacteria; Pseudomonadati; Pseudomonadota; Alphaproteobacteria; Hyphomicrobiales; Rhizobiaceae. The record is from RNAcentral.
CAGCCACACUGGGAAUGAGACACGGCCCAGACUACUACGGGAGGCAGCAGUGGGGAAUAUUGGACAAUGGGCGAAAGCCUGAUCCAGCAAUGCCGCGUGAGUGAUGAAGGCCUUAGGGUUGUAAAGCUCUUUUACUAGGGAUGAUAAUGACAGUACCUAGAGAAUAAGCUCCGGCUAACUCCGUGCCAGCAGCCGCGGUAAUACGGAGGGAGCUAGCGUUGUUCGGAAUUACUGGGCGUAAAGAGCACGUAGGCGGCUUAUUAAGUCAGGGGUGAAAUCCCGGGGCUCAACCCCGGAACUGCCCUUGAAACUGGGAAGCUAGAAUCCUGGAGAGGCGAGUGGAAUUCCGAGUGUAGAGGUGAAAUUCGUAGAUAUUCGGAAGAACACCGGUGGCGAAGGCGACUCGCUGGACAGGUAUUGACGCUAAGGUGCGAAAGCGUGGGGAGCAAACAGGAUUAGAUACCCUGGUAGUCCACGCCGUAAACGAUGUAAAAAUAGCUGUCCGGGUUCAUAGAACUUGGGAGGCGCAAGCUAAACGCAUAAAGAAACCCAGCCUGGGGGGAGGAC